AUACGGAGGAUCCGAGCGUUAUCCGGAUUUAUUGGGUUUAAAGGGUGCGCAGGCGGGAGAUUAAGUCGGCGGUGAAAUUUUUCAGCUCAACUGGAAAAGUGGCUUUGAAACUGGUUUCCUUUAGUGUAGAUGAAGGAGGCGGAACUUGUGGGGUAGCGGUGAAAUGCAUAGAUAUCACGAGGAACUCCGAUUGUGCAGGCAGCUUACUAAACUACUACUGACGCUCAGGCACGAAGGCGUGGGGAUCAAACAGGAUUAGAUACCCUGGUAGUCCACGCAGUAAACGAUGAUUACUAGCUGUUUGCGAUACAAUGUAAGCGGCUGAGCGAAAGCGUUAAGUAAUCCACCUGGGGAGUACGUUCGCAAGAAUGAAACUCAAAGGAAUUGACGGGG
RNAcentral lists this ribosomal RNA (393 nucleotides) under uncultured bacterium. RNAcentral's name for it is "partial 16S ribosomal RNA". It matches the Rfam family "Bacterial small subunit ribosomal RNA", at positions 523 to 918 of the family's 1533-position model. The record is from RNAcentral.